RNAcentral lists this long non-coding RNA (322 nucleotides) under Setaria viridis. RNAcentral describes it as "long non-coding RNA (SVIR_LNC010840)". The record is from RNAcentral. Lineage: Eukaryota; Viridiplantae; Streptophyta; Magnoliopsida; Poales; Poaceae.
GUUUUGCAAAUGUUAGACCCUCAAUCCUUGUCUAUUUAUUUCCUCUCUCCUUGAUCACUACUUGAUCUUGAUCAUGCAUCUCCUUCUUGAUGAAUGAUCUUACCUGUUUGAUGCAAUACACCUUCUUGAUUUCUUAGUGAUAUUGCUACUCUCUCAUCCUCUGUUCAUUUAUCUCCUUGAUGUUUUCCUUACUUACUUAUCCUUGUAAACCUAUCUCUUCCUUAACUUUAUUUUCAGUAUAUCCAUCUUCCCUGGGGGCUACGGCCACGGGUACUUACUCCUCUUGGUGGAUCGGAAGCAUUGAAGGCCCGGACUACCUUGG